UUUUGCAGAUUAAUUAGAGAUAAGCAUCUCAUGGACUUUUCUACCCAGGCUUGCUUUGAACUAUGAUUGUCA
Perognathus longimembris pacificus (Pacific pocket mouse) is the source of this 72-nucleotide long non-coding RNA. RefSeq lists it as uncharacterized. The record is from RefSeq and is a predicted model, not a curated record. NCBI's taxonomy places the organism in Eukaryota, Metazoa, Chordata, Mammalia, Rodentia, Heteromyidae. The transcript is spliced from 3 exons.